UUAUAGUUUGGAUCCUGGCUCAGAUUGAACGCUGGCGGCAGGCCUAACACAUGCAAGUCGAGCGGAUGAAGGGAGCUUGCUCCUGGAUUCAGCGGCGGACGGGUGAGUAAUGCCUAGGAAUCUGCCUGGUAGUGGGGGAUAACGUCCGGAAACGGGCGCUAAUACCGCAUACGUCCUGAGGGAGAAAGUGGGGGAUCUUCGGACCUCACGCUAUCAGAUGAGCCUAGGUCGGAUUAGCUAGUUGGUGGGGUAAAGGCCUACCAAGGCGACGAUCCGUAACUGGUCUGAGAGGAUGAUCAGUCACACUGGAACUGAGACACGGUCCAGACUCCUACGGGAGGCAGCAGUGGGGAAUAUUGGACAAUGGGCGAAAGCCUGAUCCAGCCAUGCCGCGUGUGUGAAGAAGGUCUUCGGAUUGUAAAGCACUUUAAGUUGGGAGGAAGGGCAGUAAGUUAAUACCUUGCUGUUUUGACGUUACCAACAGA
Molecule: ribosomal RNA, 485 nt
Filed under: Pseudomonas sp. 25
Lineage: Bacteria; Pseudomonadati; Pseudomonadota; Gammaproteobacteria; Pseudomonadales; Pseudomonadaceae
Description: bacterial SSU rRNA
Rfam family: Bacterial small subunit ribosomal RNA
Source: RNAcentral